This 784-nucleotide ribosomal RNA is filed under the name Phocaeicola dorei. Its description in RNAcentral is "bacterial SSU rRNA". It matches the Rfam family "Bacterial small subunit ribosomal RNA", at positions 1 to 779 of the family's 1533-position model. The record is from RNAcentral. Lineage: Bacteria; Pseudomonadati; Bacteroidota; Bacteroidia; Bacteroidales; Bacteroidaceae.
UAGAGUUUGAUCCCUGGGCUCAGGAUGAACGCUAGCUACAGGCUUAACACAUGCAAGUCGAGGGGCAGCAUGGUCUUAGCUUGCUAAGGCCGAUGGCGACCGGCGCACGGGUGAGUAACACGUAUCCAACCUGCCGUCUACUCUUGGACAGCCUUCUGAAAGGAAGAUUAAUACAAGAUGGCAUCAUGAGUCCGCAUGUUCACAUGAUUAAAGGUAUUCCGGUAGACGAUGGGGAUGCGUUCCAUUAGAUAGUAGGCGGGGUAACGGCCCACCUAGUCUUCGAUGGAUAGGGGUUCUGAGAGGAAGGUCCCCCACAUUGGAACUGAGACACGGUCCAAACUCCUACGGGAGGCAGCAGUGAGGAAUAUUGGUCAAUGGGCGAGAGCCUGAACCAGCCAAGUAGCGUGAAGGAUGACUGCCCUAUGGGUUGUAAACUUCUUUUAUAAAGGAAUAAAGUCGGGUAUGGAUACCCGUUUGCAUGUACUUUAUGAAUAAGGAUCGGCUAACUCCGUGCCAGCAGCCGCGGUAAUACGGAGGAUCCGAGCGUUAUCCGGAUUUAUUGGGUUUAAAGGGAGCGUAGAUGGAUGUUUAAGUCAGUUGUGAAAGUUUGCGGCUCAACCGUAAAAUUGCAGUUGAUACUGGAUAUCUUGAGUGCAGUUGAGGCAGGCGGAAUUCGUGGUGUAGCGGUGAAAUGCUUAGAUAUCACGAAGAACUCCGAUUGCGAAGGCAGCCUGCUAAGCUGCAACUGACAUUGAGGCUCGAAAGUGUGGGUAUCAACAGGAUA